CCGAGUGUCAAGGUUGAUUGAGCUCAGGUGUAACUCGCCAUUUUGUGGUCGGUGGUUACCGUUAGUUUGCUUCAUUGGAAGUUCAAAUAAACCUGACUCGAGGGAACUUUAAUAAAAAUAAAGAGUGCACCAUUUACCUUUAAUCCCACCUGCACAAUGGAGGCGAAUUUUGAUGAACAGACUGGCAGUGACAACAUUAGGGGCAGAGGAGGUAAAGGAAGAGGAAAAGGUGGGCAGAUGGCCAGAGGAAGAAGCAGCAGAGGUGUUUUUGGAGGACCUAAGAACCUAGGGCCACCAAGUAGAGGUGAAUCAUCUGGCAGAUUUGGGCGAGGACAAGCAGCUGCUAAUGGAUUUGGCUCGGCAAGACGUGGUAUAGGAAAUACUAGAAUGCGCCCCUACCCAGAUCCUCGUGGACGAAGAGGACCACCUAGAUUUGGACUGCCACUUACGAGCGGAGGGAUGGAAUGUCCAUUUGGUGGACAAGGAGACAUGUCUUUUCCUCCUCCUCCAAGAUUUAGGGGUGGUGGUCCUCCUCCACCACGAUUACCAGUUCCUCCUCCUCCAGGACCAAUGUGCUUCAGAGGAAGACCCCCCUUCAUUCGAGGUAGAAGCAUGCAAAGAGGGGUUUUCUCGCCUCAGAGAGGGUAACAUAGGUAGUGCACCCUGUGUGGCCUACUGGUGAUGCUGAGACUACUGGGAAACUUGAGCACUGAAUUCAGAGAUCUAGGGAAAGGAACUUACGAAAGUAAGGAAUCAACUGUGGAGGUUGAGAAGUUCAUAUUGGAGCAUACAGUAGCUGCAUGGACCAAAUGGCAUCCUUUCCACUCCAACAGUAGUUAUGGAUUGUACUAAGAGGCGACAGGGGCUUGUGGAAUCAUAUCAUAGUUUGAUUGUCAUUUGGAAGGGAGAGGAAAAUAAAUGGGACAAUUUUGCUUUGUGCAUUUUGUUUGGACAAGUAUCUCUUCACAAAAGUCAUAGGCUGUGAAUCUGGAACACGUAAUGAAUGAAUGUAUAUAAUUAUUUUUUUAAAUAAAUAGAUCUGUGAGGAAUUGCAUUGUUUUAAAUUAUGGAAUAGCUAGAUAGUAAUAUUUCCAUCCACUGGUACUUUUUGAGCUAAAAUCGAUACUCUGGCUGCUUCACAGCUUUGGAAAUAAAAGUGAAACUUUCUCAUAUUCUAAUAUUUUGUGUUUGGAUAACCAAUUUUUUUUAAGCUUCUGAUAAUAGUUCAAUCUGAAGUUGUAAAGACUAAUCUAAUUGAUACUAUUUCUGAUGUCUUCUGAGAGUUUGGCAGGAACACAGUAUCUGUGAAGAUGUCGCUUGGACUUGCAAGAAAAAGAUAAGAUGGUCUUCUCUGUUUACCACACUGCUAACUGCUCAUUACCAUUUUUCAUUGCAUGUAGUCAGAAAGAAAAUGGGCAUUGUUUGCACGACCCUCCACUGGCACCCCAUCCAAAAAUAAACCACAUAGUAUUGAACUUACUGUGGGGUCUAGAAAGGUCCCAAGUUCGUGUGGCAGCAGUGGGAGCAAUAUUAGCAUCCCAGAUUAUGGAGAGGAAAGCAGUUAGUCUUGACUGUUUUCUGGUAUUACUUCUUAUGAUAGAUAGAUGGGUUUUAGCUUGGCUAUAGUGUGUGACUAUUCAGAAUCCAAAAUUAGGUACUGGAGGGUGACAGUGCCAAUGGAAAACUAGAAUGGGCAAUAAAUGCUGACCUAGCCAGCAACGUCCGCAUCCUGUGAAAGGAAAAAUAACUUUGUUGAGAAGUAGAUCGGGGAGAAAAACAGAGAAGAAACCAAAUUACUGCACAUUUGAGUGCAAGGGAUUAAUUAGAUGCAUAAAAUAAUACUUGAGUAAAUUGGAAACAUUUCACAAGAGAGAGAUUUGUUCAAAGUGAGAAAUAGUACAGUCACGUAUUGAAAACAUUAAUGAUUGGCAACAUUGUAGCGUACAAAGAUCAGAAAAUUUCUUCUGUUUCUUAAAUUGAGUGAAAAAAUAUUUAAAAGAAAUGUGAACUACAAGGCUUUUUUAAAAUAAAUGCAGUAAAAAUUCACUCUCCAGUGCUUGACAGAUAUUGCUUGGCAAGAUUAAAAGAAUUUGAAAUGAAAUAAUAUGCAGCUGAAAGAAGCACUGAAGUUGCUUUUAUGAUGAGAUUCUCUGGCUGUCCAGUUUACUGGUCUUGAUUUGCAUUUACCUGGGUUAUGUUGCUGCACAUAUAUACUAACUCAACAAACUUGUGGAACUAAAAUGUUAAAGAUAGUGAAACAUUAACAAAGACUCUGAGUCCAUGAAAUAAUUGCAAAUGUACAUUGUUCAACAUUUUACAAAGCCUGAUUUCAAAAUAUUAUCAAUUCAGAGACUCACUGAUUAUAGUCUUUAAAUUUUAAAAUCUAGAAUUUACUGUAGGGGAUGUAAAUUAC
Carcharodon carcharias (great white shark) is the source of this 2413-nucleotide RNA transcript. RefSeq lists it as uncharacterized. The transcript has 7 exons. The record is from RefSeq and is a predicted model, not a curated record. NCBI's taxonomy places the organism in Eukaryota, Metazoa, Chordata, Chondrichthyes, Lamniformes, Lamnidae.